This 449-nucleotide ribosomal RNA is filed under the name uncultured bacterium. RNAcentral describes it as "partial 16S ribosomal RNA". It matches the Rfam family "Bacterial small subunit ribosomal RNA", at positions 29 to 523 of the family's 1533-position model. The record is from RNAcentral.
AACGAACGCUGGCGGCAUGCCUAACACAUGCAAGUCGAACGAGAUCUUCGGGUCUAGUGGCGCACGGGUGCGUAACGCGUGGGAAUCUGCCCUUUGGUUCGGAAUAACAGUUGGAAACGACUGCUAAUACCGGAUGAUGACGAAAGUCCAAAGAUUUAUCGCCAGAGGAUGAGCCCGCGUAGGAUUAGCUAGUUGGUGUGGUAAAGGCGCACCAAGGCGACGAUCCUUAGCUGGUCUGAGAGGAUGAUCAGCCACACUGGGACUGAGACACGGCCCAGACUCCUCCGGGAGGCAGCAGUGGGGAAUAUUGCGCAAUGGGCGAAAGCCUGAUCGAGAAUUGCCGCGUGAGUGAUGAAGGCCUUAGGGUUGUAAAGCUCUUUUACCCGGGAUGAUAAUGACAGUGCCGGGAGAAUAAGCACCGGCUAACUCCGUGCCAGCAGCCGCCGCGG